This 434-nucleotide ribosomal RNA is filed under the name uncultured bacterium. RNAcentral describes it as "partial 16S ribosomal RNA". It matches the Rfam family "Bacterial small subunit ribosomal RNA", at positions 29 to 508 of the family's 1533-position model. The record is from RNAcentral.
AACGAACGCUGGCGGCAUGCCUAACACAUGCAAGUCGAACGAGACCUUCGGGUCUAGUGGCGCACGGGUGCGUAACGCGUGGGAACCUGCCCUUAGGUUCGGAAUAACUCCCCGAAAGGGGUGCUAAUACCGGAUAAUGUCUUCGGACCAAAGAUUUAUCGCCUUUGGAUGGGCCCGCGUUGGAUUAGCUAGUUGGUAGGGUAAAAGCCUACCAAGGCGACGAUCCAUAGCUGGUCUGAGAGGAUGAUCAGCCACACUGGGACUGAGACACGGCCCAGACUCCUACGGGAGGCAGCAGUGGGGAAUAUUGGACAAUGGGCGAAAGCCUGAUCCAGCAAGGCCGCGUGAGUGAUGAAGGCCUUAGGGUUGUAAAGCUCUUUUACCCGGGAUGAUAAUGACAGUACCGGGAGAAUAAGCUCCGGCUAACUCCGUGC